UACAGAGGGUGCAAGCGUUGUUCGGAAUUACUGGGCGUAAAGCGCGCGCAGGCGGAUCUAGUAAGUCGGGAGUGAAAUCUCACUGCUCAACGGUGAGACUGCUUCUGAUACUGCGGAUCUGGAGACCGGUAGAGGCUGGUGGAAUUGCAGGUGUAGCGGUGGAAUGCGUAGAGAUCUGCAAGAACACCCGUGGCGAAGGCGGCCAGCUGGGCCGGUUCUGACGCUGAGGCGCGAAAGCGUGGGGAGCAAACAGG
RNAcentral lists this ribosomal RNA (254 nucleotides) under uncultured bacterium. RNAcentral's name for it is "partial 16S ribosomal RNA". It matches the Rfam family "Bacterial small subunit ribosomal RNA", at positions 524 to 776 of the family's 1533-position model. The record is from RNAcentral.